Molecule: microRNA precursor, 62 nt
Filed under: Paramuricea clavata
Lineage: Eukaryota; Metazoa; Cnidaria; Anthozoa; Malacalcyonacea; Plexauridae
Source: RNAcentral
UCGACUACUGUUGAGUCAUCAUCAGGAAUGAUAAUUUCUGAUGAUGACUCAACAGUAGUCGA